UUCCACCUCGGACACCAAAUAGCUGUUGUCUGAAUUUCUCACCGAACAAUUGGCACGAAUCUCUCCUUGGUUGCCUGACAAUACGCUAAGCUGUGACAUCUUGAUCAUUGCAACCACGAACUUCUCGAAGAACAAAGCUUCAUCUUCAGCAAAGCUUUUGACGAUGCCCCUUGUCUUCUUGUACGAGUACAGGUCUUGGUCUGAGGUAAACAGGCCUUGGCGGUUCACGAGAUCAACAUAGUACUUAUUGUCAAAUUUAUUAGGGGACCUGAUAUCUAGCACAGUGGUGUUGGUAGAGGUAUUUGUGGGGCA
This 312-nucleotide long non-coding RNA is filed under the name Populus tremula. Its description in RNAcentral is "long non-coding RNA (PTRE_LNC002316)". Lineage: Eukaryota; Viridiplantae; Streptophyta; Magnoliopsida; Malpighiales; Salicaceae. The record is from RNAcentral.